UGUGGUUUUUUUUGGCAUCCAGUUAUUCAAACUAUAUAGUCACCACUGAAGCACACAUCCUGCCCUUAGUUGUCAGAAUAAUAUAUCAAUAGCCCCAAACACCUGGAAUGCUCCAGGUACCCCACCCCCACGCCCACAGCUUAGGUUCACCUCUCAAGGACAGGUGCUCACUCCCCGAGGUGUCUGGAGAGUCACAGCAGAGAGGCCCCUGUGUUGGCUGAUGAGUUGGAAGCUGAGUGAGGAAACAGGAGAGCAGUCCGGGCAGGCUCAGCUGAGAGUCCCCUUGCCCUGCAGAGUGCGCUCUGGGUGGAGACUUGAAGGGUCCCUACAUGGCUAGUGGUGAAAGGUGCUGUUGAAAGGCUGUCUCUCCAUCUCAGGUUAAAAUUUGAAGGCUUCAUGGUGACCUCAUCUCCUGCCACCCACCUGGCACCGAGCCACUCCCCUUAACCUGGAGCCUAGAGGCUGGGAAGGACCAUAGUCUAGACUCAGAAGUAAUCAGCCCCACCCUUGCUUUCUAUAUAACUCUGGAUUCCAGAGGAAAUGGGUUCCUCCAUAAGUCGUGCUGGCAAAGGCCCUGGUCACCCACUCCGACAGGACACACAGUCUUGCCACGGCUGCAGGAGGAGAGUCACUGGCAUCCUAUCCGUCGACAAACCCUGGAAGGAACAGUCCCGGGGGUUGGGCCACAGAGGAGCCAGCUAGAAAGGGGUACGGUGCAUCUGGUGUGUGACAAUGGGUUGUUGCUGUCUGUAUGCACUUGGAAGUACGUGACACCCUUGCUCUGGGGGCUGCAGAUCUUCCAAACGUAAAGAGGGCCAUGUGGCAAACCAAUUUCUCAACAGUAUGAGAGCAGAGGCCCUUUCCCUGUCAUUGCCUCCCCCACCCAUUCCUUCUUUCUACUGAUCAUUUUUGCUUCUCUGAGAGCUGGCAGAGUGUCUGUACUUUGUAGGUGUGCUAGGGAAGUGGGACCUCACAUAGCUCGCUACCACAGUCCAGGUCUAAGGGCUGGCAGAGUGCAUUUCAUGGCUCUGCUUAGGGGAGUAGGGCCUCACAGAGCUGCCUACUGAAGCCCAAAUCUGCUGCUUCCCAGCUGUGCCACCUUGGACAAGUUAUUCAACCUCUCUGAGCCUCAGUUUCCUCACCUGGAAAUAAAAGGGAUGAUGAUACCAUCUAACGAUUAUUGAUUACUGGGCCAUUGACCACAGGCCAGGGGCUGUGUUGACACUGGCUGCAUGCAGACAUUUCCCCAAGGAGUUCUUGCUGAAUAAGUCGGCAUAAAGCAGUGGUCAAGAGCUUGCAUUCUAGAAUCCUGGUUCUGUAAUUUACCAGCUGUGUUGACCCAGAGCAAGUCCCUUCACCUCUGUGGGCCGACGUUUCCCCUCCUAUUGAAAGGAUGGUGGAGGAAGAGAAUUUGAGUGACAGCUCUCUCAAGGGCUUCAUGAGAAGUAGAGUCUGGCCUGAACCUCCCCAUCCCAAGGCCUGACGCAGAGUCAGGAACGACAGCUCAUUGAGAAAUGCCUGCAGAACAAUGAAUCCUUCAGUGUAACAUUCAGGAGAAUGUUCCUAGGCCGCGCAAUUCCCCACACAAAAAUGCCAUCUAGACCCCCCGACCCCAAUCACGAAAUCGGCCUCUUCAGAAUAACGGUAGAGAAACUUCCAGGUCCCCACAGCUGACAUAAUGUUUUUAGCAGACAUGUCCCACGAUGCCUUCCACUCCCCAGCAUGACUUCUCCUUUCCAAUAGUACUUGGGGGUCCACCUUCCCUGAACCUGCCUGUCAGGAGAUAAGCUUCCCCUGUGGCCUGGAGGCUGUUCUGAGAGUUUAAGGUCCUGAGUUGCAGUCUGGGUGAGUUUCAAUCUGGGUGUGGUAAGGAACCGGCUGUCGUGGUUCUGAGCCGUUGGCUGUUGUGCACACCACCUCUUCCCAUCCACUGUGUUCUUAAGAAUGAUGCCGGUGAAGAUAGCAGGAUUAUGGACUUUUCCAUAACAGCCUUCUACAACCAAAUCUGCUGAAAGAUCUUUGCUCCUACAAAUGUGAUUCCUGUGGCUUUCUAAUGUGAUAACUCAACAGGGUGUAGAGUCCAGGGCCUUAUGCAUUUAACUCAUGGAGGGACCUUGGCUGAGACCAUUUCUCCCAGAAGAUAAGGCUCCUUGCUUAGAACGAGAGGCUGCUGGAUUCCACCUUCGGCACUCCAGGAUGAAGGAAUAUGCAAGCUUUUGUAGUGUCGUAAGAGGAUGUUCCACCACUGGCUUGUCUCUUCCAAAUAUGAAGGUGUCUGUCUCAUGGGCUGGGAGAAAUCUCUAGACCACCAGAGACAUCUUGGAAAAUCUCCCCCAAUCAAAUCCACUGCAAUGGCAAAAUUCAUUAAUUUCUGUGGUUAAUGUUUUCUGAUACAGUUGCCUUGUCGAAUGCAGGCUGGAAGCGUGUCUGCAGACAGAUGGCACCAGCUGCGGAGCACCGGGGCACUACCCACUCCAUUGGGGAGGAUGAACUGGGACACGCCACAGAAGCGUGAUCUCGUGGCUCAGUGGGCGUGGAAGGCUGGGCCAAAGGUGUCACAAGCUUCUUACACAACAACUCACCAGAACAGGUGGCUGUGGCUUAACUGACAGCUGUUACACCAGACCCUGCAACACGAACAUAUGUUUGCCCACCCACUGUCCCUCCUUUCGGGGAAUCAGGCCCCCUCCUUCUAGAACAAUCAUGUUCAGUCCAUAAGCUUAGGUGGGCUGAACACCCUGCCCCUCUGCCCCAGAUUUGGCUAAUCAAAGUGCUCCAUUUCCUAGGCCACAGGCAUGGAGGCAGAUGAGCUGAUGACCCAAAGCUGCAUCAGUCAAUCUCUAGAAUUUUUGCUGCAGGUAUCAAGAGCAACGUGAUGAAUACGAUUUUUCCUAGGACUUUUACAGGAGCUGGUGAGAACGCUCAUGCUUCAGGGCCUGGAGCUAAACCGUCCAUAAGGUACGCAACUGCCAGGAUCCAUCUUUCCACCAGAAAAAACAUGCUUGAGGGUGAAACCAACACGGUCCUGGUGAUAAUUGAGCCUCUGGAUCCAGCCAUUCCUGAAGCUAGCCAUGUCCCUGGACUUUAUUGUUACAUGAAUAGUAACCAAGUGUGGCCGCUGGCUACACAGGAGAAGAAGCAAAAGGAGCUGCCAUAGAGAAGCUGUGAGAAGUGCACGACACCUCUCUGAAGAGCAGGACAUUUGCCUGGGCACAGAGGCCGUCUUUGGGAACACAUCUUCCACACCGAGGAAGAGGGCAGGUGUAUCGGCGGUGCUUGGGCACUGAGCAGACAUCUCUAGCCUGAGCAUUAUUCCAAUGGACUCUUUUUCUCACGGAGCCCAAACUAUUAUGAGGACCUCCAUCAGAACCGCAGGGGCCGCGCUGCCCUGAGGCCUGGUGUUGGAGCUGUCCUGGUUAGCACCUUGUCACCAUGAUCCCCUGGGGUCGAGUGGGAUCCCCUGCCACCCUCAUCGUGCACUCUAUACAUGUUAGAUUUAUGCACCAAAGUCCCCUUUUGCCCUGGAAGGCUUUUGAGGUACAGUGGACCCCAUGUGGCCCACAGAUGUUUUAAGGGAACAAAGGAGUUUCCAACCAACUUAAACAUCAGAUUUUAUAUCAAGAUGUGCAUUUCUGCCACCUCUUGAAAAGCUCAAGGACUUUUAUCCAGCUAGUUGCACUCCUAUAUAACAGGAAUCAGCCGGGUGAGGAGUGGCUAAUCCCUUUAUAUGGAGCCUAGGAGCUGCACUCCACACCACUCCCUGCUGACAACUCAAUGGCUUAAUUCACUCAUAUGACCCACCCAGACCUACAGGCACCUUAGUUUGCUAUGGCAUCCCAGUUGAGAGAGGUAAAUUUGGGGUGCCUGUUGAUGCUGGAAGAUCACACGACCAAGGCCCCAAUUCUGUGUGUCAGUCCAGGUGGCGGGCUGUCUCUUACCUCCAAAUAAUACACCUGGUUGAUAAUGAUAAGGCUAAGUAAGAAAUGAGGACAAAAGGCUGCAGUGGGUGACAGGGGCUGCUCUGUGAUGUGACAGGUCUGUCCAGGAGCCCCACUGCUGGCGGAGGGAGGUGCAACAUUAGUGUGUCACUUCCUGUGGUGUGCAAAUACGCAUCAACACAUCAGAAAAGGGGCGAAAGACUCAAACAGCCUCUUAGCAUCUAAGGUAUCCCAGGACCCACAGGGCCACAGGUACCACCCCACAAACAGUGAUUACGGCUGACUUUCCAGGCAGCUACUGCGUAUUCUGCAAACCACUCUAUAGGAGAAUCAGCUGCCCUUUGGGCAAAACGGCAGCAAAGUGUCCUUUGUGGCCUCAGAUGGCUGCCGGUUCCAGAAUCCAGUUUGUUCAGAGAGAGGCCCUGCCUGGCAAAGGCGGCCGCGUUUCUCAGCAGAGCUGUGGAGUUGAACCUGUCCCUCCCGGAGGUGUGAUGUGGGCUGUGGCUUGCAAAGGCACCAUCGUUUCCCCUUGCUGCCCUUGAUGACUUGUUGGUGGCACUCUUCCCCACAGACGAGGGGUACAGGGAUGCCACCACAGCUGCGCUGCGCUGUGCCACCUGCUCCCUGGGUUCGCAGCCAACUUGGCAGCAGAGGAGGACAGCCUGCUAUUCUUAACGCUCUGGGGCUAGGUGUUGAUUCUGCAGCUCUCUCACACAGGGGAAGCCUUCUCUGGGAGACACUGGCUCCCUUCGCUAGGCUGACCACGCUCUCUUCAGCUUUCGCACCUCCUCCUGCCUCUGCCCCACGGGCUCCAGGCUCCUGCCCUGUCCCCAGCUUCCAUCCGAGGCCAACGCCUCUUCCUGCCCUCUCUUUCCCUGGGCACCUGACCCCAACCUCGUAACUUCUGCGAUCCCCCAUACGUCAGCCAAUUCCAUGUUUUAUAUCAGGAAAUCGCAUCCCAAAGACUGUUUCCCAAUUCCUGAGAGAGACUGGGAUUUAAGACGGUGAACUCAGAAUUCCUGCAAGUUCUUAGCAAUUCUCCAAAUCCUAAGUUAUUCUUAAACUAUUAGUUAACAUCCUUCCCACUACUUAUCCAUUAUCAGAGAAAUCUAAAACUGUUUGCUUAAUAUUUAGUAGGAUUUGCAAAACACGAUACCCUAGAAUGAAUACACAAAGGCUGGGAAAGACAACUGAAUGCUGUUGGGUGCUGCUGAAAGAAUCACACAACAUGGGCCCCUGCUACCAAGGCUCAUGACACUACACAGUCUAGUGUCCAGAAUGCCAAUUUAAGGACUUAUUGUGCUUCCCAAACUUGUUACUUCUUGGAAUGCCACUAACAGAAAGUAUACAAUUCACAUAAACAUAUUAGUAUUUAUUUGCAAGAAUGAUUCAUUGUUUGCAGUAGACAGAGCCAAGAACGCACAGUUAGAACAUGGCAUCAGUGCAAGGCAAUCCUGACUAAUGAGAUCGUGACCACGUCUCUCCCACAUGUUCCUGUCCUGGUUCCUGCAAACGGCCACCCAGACCUGCAGCUCUGUGUGGUGACACCUCCUGCUCCUGCUCUAUCGGUGUGGAUUCCUCCAAACUGUGAUUGCUACACCUUAAUUAUCAGCAGGACGGUUAUAACACA
Molecule: long non-coding RNA, 5568 nt
Organism: Symphalangus syndactylus (siamang)
Lineage: Eukaryota; Metazoa; Chordata; Mammalia; Primates; Hylobatidae
Source: RefSeq, a predicted model, not a curated record